AUCGUUCAUCUGUUUAGGCAGACGGAAGUAAGAAGUAAUAAUCUUCUGAAGGAACGCGCC
This 60-nucleotide non-coding RNA is filed under the name Geminocystis sp. RNAcentral's name for it is "Glutamine-I sequence". It matches the Rfam family "Glutamine riboswitch aptamer (glnA leader)". Lineage: Bacteria; Bacillati; Cyanobacteriota; Cyanophyceae; Chroococcales; Geminocystaceae. The record is from RNAcentral.